CUACGUAGGUGACAAGCGUUAUCCGGAUUUACUGGGCGUAAAGGGCGUGUAGGCGGUCUUGCAAGUCAGAAGUGAAAUUCCUGAGCUCAACUCGGGCGCUGCUUCUGAAACUGCAGGACUUGAGUGCUGGAGGGGAUAGCGGAAUUCCUAGUGGAGCGGUAAAAUGCGCAGAUAUUAGGAAGAACACCGGUGGCGAAGGCGGCUAUCUGGACAGUAACUGACGCUGAGGCGCGAAAGCGUGGGUAGCAAACAGGAUUAGAUACCCUGGUAGUCCACGCUGUAAACGAUGAUUACUAGGUGUGGGGGGACUGACCCCUUCCGUGCCGCAGUUAACACAAUAAGUAAUCCACCUGGGGAGUACGGCCGCAAGGUUGAAACUCAAAGGAAUUGACGGGG
RNAcentral lists this ribosomal RNA (396 nucleotides) under uncultured bacterium. RNAcentral describes it as "partial 16S ribosomal RNA". It matches the Rfam family "Bacterial small subunit ribosomal RNA", at positions 523 to 918 of the family's 1533-position model. The record is from RNAcentral.